GACGAACGCUGGCGGCGUGCCUAAUACAUGCAAGUUGAGCGAUGAAGAUUGGUGCUUGCACCAAUUUGCAGAGCAGCGAACGGGUGAGUAACGCGUGGGGAAUCUGCCUUUGAGCGGGGGACAACAUUUGGAAACGAAUGCUAAUACCGCAUAAUAACUUUAAACAUAAGUUUUAAGUUUGAAAGAUGCAAUUGCAUCACUCAAAGAUGAUCCCGCGUUGUAUUAGCUAGUUGGUGAGGUAAAGGCUCACCAAGGCGAUGAUACAUAGCCGACCUGAGAGGGUGAUCGGCCACAUUGGGACUGAGACACGGCCCAAACUCCUACGGGAGGCAGCAGUAGGGAAUCUUCGGCAAUAGACGAAAGUCUGACCGAGCAACGCCGCGUGAGUGAAGAAGGUUUUCGGAUCGUAAAAAUCUGUUGGUAGAGAAGAACGUUGGUGAGAGUGGAAAGCUCAUCAAGUGACGGUAACUACCCAGAAAGGGACGGCUAACUACGUG
Molecule: ribosomal RNA, 497 nt
Filed under: uncultured bacterium
Lineage: Bacteria
Description: partial 16S ribosomal RNA
Rfam family: Bacterial small subunit ribosomal RNA
Source: RNAcentral